RNAcentral lists this ribosomal RNA (204 nucleotides) under Lactiplantibacillus plantarum. RNAcentral describes it as "Lactobacillus plantarum partial 23S ribosomal RNA". It matches the Rfam family "Bacterial large subunit ribosomal RNA", at positions 2723 to 2925 of the family's 2925-position model. The record is from RNAcentral. Lineage: Bacteria; Bacillati; Bacillota; Bacilli; Lactobacillales; Lactobacillaceae.
GUGCCGCCAGGCGCAUCGCUGGGUAGCUACGUAUGGAUGUGAUAAACGCUGAAAGCAUCUAAGUGUGAAACACACCUCGAGAUGAGAUUUCCCAUUCCUUUAUGGAAGUAAGACCCCUGAAAGAUGAUCAGGUAGAUAGGUUAGAAGUGGCAGUGCGGUGACGCAUGAAGCGGACUAAUACUAAUCGGUCGAGGACUUAACCAA